AAGGAAUUGCCACUUGGGUUUGACGCAAGUACUGAGGAAGAGUAUGCUUCCCAGUCCAAGCUGCUUCAAGAGUUCACAAGUAUCUCCAGUAUUGACAAGGCGUGGACUUUUAAGUCUAACAGCGGAAUGGGCUCCCAGGCAAUGUUUUCAAUUAGCCAGGCAAAUCUUUUGGCUAACAAAAGGAGGAAAUUCAUUCUAUCAGCUAUAAUUUCAAAAGAAAGUAGCAGUUCUGUGAAC
Molecule: unclassified non-coding RNA, 237 nt
Filed under: Hevea brasiliensis (rubber tree)
Lineage: Eukaryota; Viridiplantae; Streptophyta; Magnoliopsida; Malpighiales; Euphorbiaceae
Source: RNAcentral